Photinus pyralis (common eastern firefly) is the source of this 776-nucleotide long non-coding RNA. RefSeq lists it as uncharacterized. The record is from RefSeq and is a predicted model, not a curated record. The transcript has 4 exons. Lineage: Eukaryota; Metazoa; Arthropoda; Insecta; Coleoptera; Lampyridae.
UUUCUCUAAUAUAACAGCACUAGUGCAAGUGGUCAAUGACAAAUGGAAUGAGCACUGUCUACCUACCUAUUCGAUGGUGUAUCAUCAGCUUUACUUUGAGUAGGACCUCUUUAGUUGCAGCAUAAUAUACUAUGGUUGCAGCUUUAGGGAUGGCCGAAUUGAAGGCUUGCUACAUGGGGAAGGGGACCAAGGACAUAAGUCUGUCGCUUCAGAUGACCUUGUUUCAAGAGAUAUCCAAAAGAGGGUUCCACUUUUUAACGGAAAAAUUGGGUUAGCGUUAGGGAAUGGCGUUUCCAAACUUACAAGCAGCAACAUUUUAUGAAGAAGUUAUUGCAAUGUGACUCGGGUCUUAGUCGUCAACGUGAUCAUGUAGGAAAAUUGUUCCUCUAAUAUAACAGCACUAGUGCAAGUGGUCAUCGACAAAUGGAAUGAGCACUGUCUACCUACCUAUUCGAUGGUGUAUCAUCAGCUUUACUUUGAGUAGGACCUCUUUAGUUGCAGCUUUAAGGGUAAAGUUUAUUUUUAUUUUAUUUAUAUAUAAAAUUAUAUAACCAUCUUCCAGAAAGUAUUAAACUAAUUAUAGGGAUAUUCACGAAUUUAAAAGAAGGUUAAAACAAUUUUUAAUAAACAUGGAACCCUAUUCCAUUAACGAAUUUUUAGAAUAGUAGGUGCAUGUAAUAGGUACAUUAGGACGUAUUUCUUCUUAUGCAUUGAAAUUACUUCAUUUGUAUACAGGGUGGUGCCUAGCGUGACGCAGCAUAGGAAUUUCAAUUAUU